GUACCUAUAAACAGCGACAAAAGGUUUGUGAGUUUCCAAAUAUCCGAAAGUUUUCAAUUCCGUGUAUCGAUUCUCCGGUCACAACCUAACCUUGAGACCGUCCACCAGGAGCGCCCUGCACCCCAGGCCGUCAACAUCAACGGAGGGACACGCGGAAGGCGCGACCAAGGUGUAUACCGCGGCGAAGACCGAGGAAAGAAUAAUAGAGGGAAGACGCUCUAAUGGCACGAAAAUGUACUUGGAUGCACUUCCUGACACCAAAGAACAUCAUCCCAUUGGUUGUCUACUACGAAGAGGGAAUGACACCAGAGUCCGCGUCACGCGGCAGCACAUCGUGCGGGGAUUGGCGUUGGCGGCCGAGAGGGGAAAACCGACGCGCUCUCCGCGGCAGCGUGCGCAACAAGCGACGCGAUUGGCGGAAAGAAAGAAGAGAGGGAAAGCUCGCACGGGCAAGUAUAAAAGAUCGCGUUACGAGCGCCCGUGAGCUUUCGCGCGGAAACGUUCAUGAGGAAAACACCUCACCCACUCGAGAUUAUCAUUUCCCGCCGAAUGCGAGUAGGCGCGCGAGUGUUGAGUGAAGGUUCCGCGGGUUCAAGAUAGUUUGUGAAUUCCGCGUUAAGAUUAAACAAUCGACUGAAUGCUAGUAGGUUCGAUUCGUACUCAAGAUAUAAAUUCACGUUUACACGAAUGUGAAAAAGCGUCGCGUACGGGGCUUGUGAACAGAGUCUUCUCGAGGAAAUCGAGAUUCGUUUGCACGAAUGUGAAAAGCGACGCGACCGGGUACUUAUGUGAUAUAACUACUAAAGUUGAAAUAAACUUAGCUUUUGUUAUUUGUUGAACAAAA
Long non-coding RNA from Monomorium pharaonis (pharaoh ant), 844 nucleotides. RefSeq lists it as uncharacterized. NCBI's taxonomy places the organism in Eukaryota, Metazoa, Arthropoda, Insecta, Hymenoptera, Formicidae. The transcript has 2 exons. The record is from RefSeq and is a predicted model, not a curated record.